RNAcentral lists this ribosomal RNA (296 nucleotides) under uncultured Ascomycota. Its description in RNAcentral is "partial small subunit ribosomal RNA". It matches the Rfam family "Eukaryotic small subunit ribosomal RNA", at positions 75 to 374 of the family's 1831-position model. Lineage: Eukaryota; Fungi; Ascomycota. The record is from RNAcentral.
UAUACGGUGAAACGGCGAAUGGCUCAUUAAAUCAGUUAUCGUUUAUUUGAUAGUACCUUACUACAUGGAUAACCGUGGUAAUUCUAGAGAUAAUACAUGCUAAAAACCCCGACUUCGGAAGGGGUGUAUUUAUUAGAUAAAAAACCAACGCCCUUCGGGGCUCCUUGGUGAAUCAUAAUAACUUAACGAAUCGCAUGGCCUUGCGCCGGCGAUGGUUCAUUCAAAUUUCUGCCCUAUCAACUUUCUAUGGUAGGAUAGAGGCCUACCAUGGUUUCCACGGGUAACGGGGAAUUAGG